Homo sapiens (human) is the source of this 886-nucleotide long non-coding RNA. Ensembl annotates it as long intergenic non-protein coding RNA 2529. Lineage: Eukaryota; Metazoa; Chordata; Mammalia; Primates; Hominidae. The record is from Ensembl.
GAAGUGCCACCUAUGCCUUCAAAGUGAUAAAGAUCCAGACUGAGUUGAAAAGAAUGAUAAAGACAGAGCUGAGAGGGCCACAGUUUUAGUGACAGCCUCAGCUGUGACAAAGGAGAGAAAACAGAAAGACCUGGGAAAGUGCAAGGAUGAAGCAAUUAAGUUUGAGAAAUGUGAUGUGAGGUUUAGGAAAGGUGGAUUUUAGCCCCAGCAGACUUUUAGCUGGACACGGACCUAAUACCUUGAGACUUCAUUGUUCCCAUUAAAGAAAAAAUUAUCUUCUGACUUUCUAGGGGUUUGGGGGUCCCAGAUAUCAAAAGAUUUAAACCACUUAGGAGGUUUCCAUUGGAAGGAGAAGACUGUCUUUAGCCCACUGCAUCCCCUCAAGCCAUCCCAAGCUUUCUCUGUGCCAGGGACUGGACGCACGCUAAAAUACGAACCUGUGUGGACUUCUUUCUUAGGAGCCUUUGCACCAGCACAGAGAGCUCUCAAGAAGCUGUUGGCUCCUGCAUCCCAUCAGUCAGCACCAAAACCUUACUAAGAAAGAUGGUUGUCUAUUUUUCAUCCUAUAUGAGAAAGAGACAGAGACAGUGAUGGCGAGACUCAAGCACGCAUAUCUUGAUGGACUCCAAAAUGCUCUUCCUAAUUCCUUCUCUGUGGCUCAUUCUUCAUCCUCUAUUUGCAUUGGGAAGGACAGCGUAGGGCCGAGAGGAAUCACGGCUGAAUGGUCUGAGAUCCCGACCUGCAGAAGUAACUGGCCACUUCAGGGAAGAGAUGACUAAGAGCACUUAGAAUUUAUCCAGCUCUCAAGGCGACUUCACCAAGGAACAACCACAGUGUUGUUUUUUCACAGAAACACCAAACUUGGAAAUAAACCCUUCCAGGCUGU